RNAcentral lists this long non-coding RNA (704 nucleotides) under Equus asinus (donkey). Its description in RNAcentral is "lncRNA (ENSEASG00005038757.1)". Lineage: Eukaryota; Metazoa; Chordata; Mammalia; Perissodactyla; Equidae. The record is from RNAcentral.
GGGAGAGCAAACCAGUUUGACUUAGCACUUUGCUUGAAACUGAGGCAUCUUGGAUGUGAAAUUGCAGGAGGCUCCAUCCUAUUGACUGAAGUCCUUUUUGGGGGCGUAAUCUUCUCACCCACAUGAAAUGCCUGUCAUGUGGCCAGACCCUAGGAGAUGAGUUUAACGCAGCAGAUCACAUGAAUUGAUCCAGGCAAGCCUGUUGCUUCUGGGCCCAAGAAUCCAGGAGUCCCUGUCCAUCUUAUGUGGCCUUCCCCUCUCCGCUCCACACCCAUCUGGUCGCAAAGGAGCAAAGAAGCCUCCUCAGCAGAAGAGAAUGCUUGUCCUUCCUGCCUUCCUGCCUCCCAGGGAGCUUCCUUCAGCUCCUGCAUCAUCUGUGCCCUCCACACAACCUGGCCCAUAAAAACCUCCAACGUGCAUCACUCAUGAUUCUACCAGAUGACUGGGAUGGCAAUACUCAUGAUGACUUUGAAAGCCACAUGUUGAAGAUGACAAAGAAGUAUCAGCAUGAAUCUCUGACAGUGGAUUCCCCAGGAUCCCCUGUUGUUACCCCUAAUCUGAAAUUGCCUUCGAAUGUUAUAUGAGAGAGAAAAAUAAACAUUUAUUCUUUUGAGCCCUUACAUGUUUGAGACUAUUUGUUGCUGUAGACUAAUCUACCAUAAUUAAUAUGUUACAUCUUCUGCCUCACCUACCCACAAUACUGU